AUUCUAUCGUGCAUAUUCCAAUUGAUGCGGAAGUUAAAAUAACUCCUAUGAGCCUACACAUGAUUCACAACCAUAGUAACUAUUAAGGUCUCCAACCAUAUUAUUAAACAUUCAGAUAAAAUUGGCCAUGUAAUCAUUUACCAAGAAACAUUCUAACAGAAUUUCACACAAGUACUACAGCAGCAUACCAUAUUUUUCCAAAUCAAGAGGGACAGAAAAAUUAAAAAACCAGCAACAGACCGUAUUACACAAUCAACUGCAGACGAAUAAGCCCCACAGCCUCUUGAAAAUAGCCACUUAUACUCUCACUACGGAUAGCCAACUAGCAGUGAUAAAGAAGGAAUAAAUGCCACUUCAGCACCUAUAAGCCAUAUGGGGAAAACAAUCUUUGAACAAGAUGUGGAUGCCCAAGGAUAAUGUUCCUCUAGAUAUUUCACUAGUAGAUUGCUCGCAGUUUUUAUUCAGAAGACUGAUGAAUGUAUCCAUACAGAUACAGACUUUUGGAUGCAUCCUGAGCUAUUUGUCCAAGUUAUGACUUACCAGAUGCACUCAUGCAAAUGUUCCUUACCUGAGGAUCAUACCUAACUGUCAUAAUAAAAUUGAGGCCACUAAAUACUUCAGUGCCACUUCAAAUGAUGGUAUUAUACAAUCGUCAUUUUGAGAGAUGAGACCCAAGCACAUUUGGAUUGCUGAUAUGAAUCUGUUUUCCUCCCACAAGUUGAAGACACAAAAAGCUAUCUUCAUGCUUAAUCAAUCAUUUCCGGUCGAUCUAUAGAAAAACAGUCGUUCACAGAAAAUGAACUCACCAUAAGUAUACAACCACCCCUACCCCACUGCAACACUAUCCGACGAUAUAAACAUACCACAACUUCUAAAACUUCACAUGAAAACAAUCUAUGAAGACAUCAGGAAAGAAAAAAGAGAGUUCAAAGUGAAGUCCAAACUUAUUGCCCUGUGAAGUUGUAGUAUAAUGUGAAAUGAAAGCAACUGGUGGUUCAGAUAGGACAGGGCAAUUCCCACGUAAAGAAGACAAACCAGCAGAGACAGUGAUGGAUUCAGUCAAUGAUAAGAAGCUUGUAG
Molecule: long non-coding RNA, 1080 nt
Organism: Rhododendron vialii
Lineage: Eukaryota; Viridiplantae; Streptophyta; Magnoliopsida; Ericales; Ericaceae
Exons: 2
Source: RefSeq, a predicted model, not a curated record